ACGGGUGAGGAACACGUAGGGAUCUGCCUUGUAGAGGGGGGCAACUAGAGGAAACUCUAGCUAAUACCCCAUAAACUCUGAGGAGGAAAUGGUGGGUAGCAAUACCUGUCGCUAUAAGAGGAGCCUGCGUCCGAUUAGCUAGUUGGUUAGGUAAAGGCUGACCAAGGCGAUGAUCGGUAGCUGGUCUGAGAGGAUGAUCAGCCACACUGGGACUGAGACACGGCCCAGACUCCUACGGGAGGCAGCAGUGGGGAAUAUUGGACAAUGGGGGCAACCCUGAUCCAGCAAUGCCGCGUGUGUGAAGAAGGCCUUCGGGUUGUAAAGCACUUUAGGUUGGGAGGAAGUUGUGUAGUUUAAGAGAUAACACAAUUGACUGUACUGACAGAAUAAGCACCGGCUAACUCUGUGCCAGCAGCCGCGGUAAUACAGAGGGUGCAAGCGUUAAUCGGAAUUACUGGGCGUAAAGGGCGCGUAGGUGGUUGAUUAAGUGAGUUGUGAAAUCCCUGGGCUUAACCUAGGAGCUGCAACUUAUACUGAUUGACUGGAGUACAGUAGAGGGUGGAGGAAUUUCCGGUGU
RNAcentral lists this ribosomal RNA (577 nucleotides) under uncultured bacterium. Its description in RNAcentral is "bacterial SSU rRNA". It matches the Rfam family "Bacterial small subunit ribosomal RNA", at positions 102 to 676 of the family's 1533-position model. The record is from RNAcentral.